This 287-nucleotide unclassified non-coding RNA is filed under the name plant metagenome. RNAcentral's name for it is "partial contains small subunit ribosomal RNA, internal transcribed spacer 1, and 5.8S ribosomal RNA". The stretch from base 239 to 287 matches the Rfam family "5.8S ribosomal RNA", at positions 1 to 49 of the family's 154-position model. The record is from RNAcentral.
UUUCCGUAGGCGAACCUGCGGAAGGAUCAUUAUCGUACAAAAUGUGAGGGGCAUGCGAGGGCUGUCGCUGACCCAAAAGUCGUGCACGCCCGAGUGUGUCCUCUUGCAUAAUAAUCCAUCUCACCCUUUGUGCAUCACCGCGUGGGCACCCUUCGGGAUCAUCUCGGAGGGUGGCUCGCGUUUUCACACAAACCCCCCUUUUAAAAGUGUAGAAUGACCACAUUUAUGCAAUCAAUACAACUUUCAACAACGGAUCUCUUGGCUCUCGCAUCGAUGAAGACCGCAGC